AAAAAAAAAAAAAAAAAAAAAAAAAAAAAAAAAAAGAGUCAUCGAAUGUGGGCUAGUACUUACUGCUUUAUUGCAAACCAAAGUGCCUAGCUAUGCUGAUAUAAAAUAUUUGCUUUCAUUUGGAUAUGAAACACUUUUCUUAUGUGUUAUCAUUAAAUAUAAUAACAUGUUUUCAGAAUCCAGUUUUGACAACAUUGAAGAAAGUAAGGUGAUUUGGAUAAUUCCAUGGGAAACUGAGCUUAUAAAAGUGGUAUUAGUUGUACUUUGUCAUCCAUUUGGAAUUUGUCCAACUACUAAAUAGGUUUCUUGAGAAGACACAUAAAAUAUUGAACACUGAAGAAAAUUUGAAGCGAACAUGUAUGAUCACCAGGGAAAUAGGACUAUAAUCAUGGUCCUUCCCAGGCAGAAAGAGAAACUACCAAGUUGAUACAUCUUGCUUUUGUGUGUGUGUGUGUGUGUGUGUGUGUGUGUGUCUGUGUCUGUGUCUGUGUCUGUGUUUGUAAGCUGGUAGUGAUUUCGAUUGGAAGGAAAAAGAUAAAAUUAUAAUAGUCUCAUAGAAACCAAGAAGAUGAGUCAUCAAAAGAAAAUGCUCUGUGAGUACAGCUUGAGACUACGACACAGAAAAUACAUUCCAUGGCCUUAGCUUGUUCUUUUCAAAACUGUUAAUGUUACUAAGACAGUUCAGUGUAGUUUGAGCUCACACUGACAAACAUGAGUAAUCUGGGUCUGUUAACUGAGGAAGACUAAUUUCCUGAAUAAAUCAGUAAUUUCCCUGUGAGUGAGUGUGCAUAUGUUUGCACACUCGCGUGCUUUUACACGUAUGUGAGUAAUGUGGCCUCCCCAUUGUGUACCUAUAGGACAAAGCUGAUUUUUCUCCUUGUUCAUUUUAGUUUUUGUCAGUUUUUCUGUUUCUGUGGUUCUCUGCUUUAUGCUACCAGGUGAUGUGAAGGCAGUAAAAUUUAAACAUGCCUUCAUUAUAUGUUAUAACGUGUUUACAGUCUCAGAUUUUAAUAAGUCAUCCAGAUGCACAUACCAUGGUAUGGUGAGACAACAGGCUUUCCUUCCAGGGCCUUAGUUGUACGCUAAUGCAAGUGCUGGGCUCGUAUCCAUUCAGGAGUUAACUGUAGCAUCACUGAACAUACAGCUGUAUAUCUGUAGUGUCAAGAGUUAGAUAUAAAAGCCAGAAGACUUUAGAGCUCCACUUUGUAGUAACUACAUCAUAAAAUGGCAUUAUGCCUAUAGCUUACUCUUUUUCUUUAUGAAGAGUUUAUAAUAAGUGUGCUUGGUUUGAUAUGAGACAUAAUUCUUUAAAUUUAUAGUGGAAUCUUUCCCUGGUCGUAAAUAACAGGAUCUGAAAUAAAAGGAGUGAAUAGAUAUGAGAACUUAUUGCUAGUAGAUGUUUCAUGUGAUUAAAAAAAAAAAAGAACAAGAAACUUUUUAUAGUGAAUGAGUUCACAUCAAAGAGAAAUUACAACUUGGUUUAAUGAUGGACUGGAAAGUAGUCUUUCAGCAAGUUUGUGGCUAAAGGCAUUUCUCACUAUCACAGACUUUUUCACACCAGAGCUUUACAAACUUUGGCUGUACCAGGACUAUUCGAAGGGUUGUUAAAAUGCAGAUUGCUUAGCUUUGGACCAGCUUCUCUGCUUCAAGUGAUUUCUGACAACCUGUAUAUAUGACCAGUUGUCCAGCGGGGUCAAACGGUCACUGUUGCAGAGCUUUCCGACACUCAGGAACCAACUUUUAGUUGGAGCUAAGAACUUACUCUUUGUUAGAAAUGGCAAAGACUAUUACAGGUUAAAUAAAUAAGUUCAUAAGCUCAAAAUAUUCAUUUGUAAUAAACUAACUUAGCUUUACCAGCAGAAUGGAUGGAUUAUAAAUGAAAUUGUUUACUACAAAAUCCUUCACACGAUAUUGAAAGACAGGAAACUUUAAGAGAAAAACAAAACAGGCAAUCCCUUCUGAAAUACAAUUGGCAGUCAGCCCAAUUUUAAAAGUAUAUAGUAUAUAGUAAC
Molecule: long non-coding RNA, 2012 nt
Filed under: Mus musculus (house mouse)
Lineage: Eukaryota; Metazoa; Chordata; Mammalia; Rodentia; Muridae
Description: long non-coding RNA chr1:137935334-137937346
Source: RNAcentral